GAUACAGUCGCAUCUGCAAGAAUUUAAAUCAUAUUUGAGUGAAAAACAAAACGGUAUAAAAAUUAUGAGAAAUGAAGUGUAAAAUAAUUUUGUUUACUUAUGUUAGUCUCAUAGAGUUAGAUUAUCUGCAUUCUGCAGUGUUAAGCAACCCAAGACUCUCCAAUAACAAAGCUGGAAACUUUUGCACCACAACAUUCAUCUCUUCACCGAUUCUCCAUAAUCGGUCGGAAAAUCGGAUACUUAUCCUGUGAGAGUGAGCCCCGCGUUUGGUUCGGUUGGUAUUUGAGUCUCAGGUGUUCGACGAAAUGUCAAACCGAGUUUGCAUAAAAAAGGGGUUGUCGACACUAACUGGCGUGAAGUUUGUGGGCAAACAGGGACACCCAAAUGAUUUUUCCAUGUGUGUUCGAUCCAAAACAACGUCUGCUCAGUAUGUAGCAUCGAGAUUUCGAGACCCCACGUUUGAGAAACUCAUGGAAAACUACAAGAACCUUUUCAAAGUCAUUGCCAUUCAAGACCUCAUUCUUGCCAACCCAAAGAACCCCUCAGUCUCCAUUGAUUUCCUCUCCAAGCUCUCCCAGAAGCUCCACCUAAACCGCGGCGCCACUGCCUUCCUCCGCAAGUUUCCUCACAUCUUCCACAUUUACUAUGACCCUUCCAAAUUGAAGCCCUUUUGCAGGUUAACUGAUGCUGCUCUUGAUGUUUCGCGGCAGGAGGCAGUGGCCAUCAAUGCCUCUUUGCCUGUUGUUGUUGAAAGACUUGUUCGGAUACUGUCCAUGUCUGCAUCCAAAGUGGUGCCUCUUAGAGCUGUUUUCAAGGUCUGGAAGGAGCUUGGGCUGCCCGAUGAUUUUGAGGAUUCAAUCAUAUCAGCUAAUUCUGGUGUUUUUCAGCUGUGUGAUGCGCCGGAAGCGAAUACGCAUUUGUUGAAGCUGGUUGGUGGUGUUUCCAGCAAUGGUUUAAGGGCAGCUGUUGAGGAUUGGAGGGUUGUUGAGUGCUGCAAGGACGAAUGCAGUGUUGAUAGGAUGGAAAUGCAGUUCAGUUUCAAACACGGGUAUCCUCCCGGGAUGAGGUUGAGCAAGAAUUUCAAGGCUAAGGUGAAGGAAUGGCAGAGGUUGCCAUAUGUGGGGCCUUACGAGGUAGUGAGUGAGAAGAAGAAGUCUAAGGCUGGAAUGAUGGCUAUGGAGAAGCGGGCAGUGUCAAUUGUUCACGAGUUCCUGAGUUUGACAGUGGAGAAGAUGGUGGAAGUUGAGAAGAUCAGCCAGUUUAGAAAAUGGUUAGGGAUUGAUUUAAAUAUAAGGGAUCUGUUCCUGGACCACCCUGGGAUUUUCUAUUUGUCUACGAAGGGUAAAAGGCAUACUGUUUUCCUGAGGGAAGCUUAUGAACGAGGGUGUUUGAUAGAACCCAAUCCUGUCUAUGAUGCAAGAAGAAGGCUACUUGAUCUUGUUGUUUUAGGACGUCGGGGCCUGCCAGCUAUUAAUUCGAAGUUGCAGGAUACAAGCAGCUGCAAUGAGGUUGGACAAGAGGAAAACCAGCAAAGACAUGACUCAUUACCAUCCUGACUAAAGCAUUACAGCCAUGUUAAGGAGAAUGAUGAUUGGGCAUUAGCCCAGGCAAGAUGGGCAUUUUAAACAAGGAUGGGAACUUGCUUACGAAAUUACAGAACAUUAAUUUAUCUUUUCAUUUCGAGGUUGAACAGAAGGUCAAAGUGCCUUUGAACUUUUGGAGAAACAAGCAUCUUAGGAAAAGCAAGCAACCCUGCUGGCGUUAUGACUAAAUGAUGUUGUUUUUUGUUCUGUUGAUAUAAUUCAUUCGAAAGUUGUAUUCAUGCAGCUUUGCAUUUUAGUGUAAUUAACUUAUUUUAAAUGAAAGAAUGAAAGGAUCUUUUGGAAUCAGAGUACAAAGAAAACCUGAUCCUUCUAGUAUUUCUGCUUGCUUGUAUUAUCAUUACUUUUGGAAUGUAUCAGCUAGUACUGUUCCCAUAUCAGUUACAUAAAUAACUUUUUGUGCCUUAAAUGAUUGAA
Cajanus cajan (pigeon pea) is the source of this 2018-nucleotide RNA transcript. It is a transcript of the gene named Ubiquitin carboxyl-terminal hydrolase family protein, with no coding region annotated. Lineage: Eukaryota; Viridiplantae; Streptophyta; Magnoliopsida; Fabales; Fabaceae. The record is from RefSeq and is a predicted model, not a curated record.